CGGCGGACGGGUGAGUAACACGUGGAUAACCUACCUAUAAGACUGGGAUAACUUCGGGAAACCGGAGCUAAUACCGGAUAAUAUAUUGAACCGCAUGGUUCAAUAGUGAAAGACGGUUUUGCUGUCACUUAUAGAUGGAUCCGCGCUGCAUUAGCUAGUUGGUAAGGUAACGGCUUACCAAGGCAACGAUGCGUAGCCGACCUGAGAGGGUGAUCGGCCACACUGGAACUGAGACACGGUCCAGACUCCUACGGGAGGCAGCAGGG
RNAcentral lists this ribosomal RNA (266 nucleotides) under uncultured Staphylococcus sp. RNAcentral's name for it is "partial 16S ribosomal RNA". It matches the Rfam family "Bacterial small subunit ribosomal RNA", at positions 96 to 354 of the family's 1533-position model. The record is from RNAcentral. Lineage: Bacteria; Bacillati; Bacillota; Bacilli; Caryophanales; Staphylococcaceae.